GACGAACGCUGGCGGCGUGCUUAACACAUGCAAGUCGAACGGAAAGGCCCUGCUUUUGUGGGGUGCUCGAGUGGCGAACGGGUGAGUAACACGUGAGUAACCUGCCCUUGACUUUGGGAUAACUUCAGGAAACUGGGGCUAAUACCGGAUAGGAGCUCCUGCUGCAUGGUGGGGGUUGGAAAGUUUCGGCGGUUGGGGAUGGACUCGCGGCUUAUCAGCUUGUUGGUGGGGUAGUGGCUUACCAAGGCUUUGACGGGUAGCCGGCCUGGGAGGGUGACCGGCACCAUGGGGCUGAGGGACGCGCCAGGACCCAAUCGGGCGCAACGGGGGGGGAAUUUACGAAAAAGGGCGGAGCGUGUGAGGAAGAACCCCGGGGGGGGGAAGCCGGCCUUGGGGGUGGAACCCGUUUCCCCGUGUCACGAAGCGUGGGGGAGGGAAAUGGUAAAAGAAGCACCGCCAACCUACGG
This 467-nucleotide ribosomal RNA is filed under the name uncultured bacterium. Its description in RNAcentral is "partial 16S ribosomal RNA". It matches the Rfam family "Bacterial small subunit ribosomal RNA", at positions 28 to 506 of the family's 1533-position model. The record is from RNAcentral.